GACCCGAUAGCUCAGCUGGUAGAGCGAACGGCUGUUAACCGUUAGGUCGUAGGUUCGAGUCCUGCUCGGGUCG
Molecule: transfer RNA, 73 nt
Filed under: Nanobdellota archaeon
Lineage: Archaea; Nanobdellati; Nanobdellota
Description: tRNA-Asn
Rfam family: tRNA
About the family: Transfer RNA (tRNA) molecules are approximately 80 nucleotides in length.
Source: RNAcentral